RNAcentral lists this ribosomal RNA (636 nucleotides) under uncultured bacterium. Its description in RNAcentral is "bacterial SSU rRNA". It matches the Rfam family "Bacterial small subunit ribosomal RNA", at positions 202 to 842 of the family's 1533-position model. The record is from RNAcentral.
UAAAGAAUUUCGGACAUCGAUGGGGAUGCGUUCCAUUAGCUUGUUGGCGGGGUAACGGCCCACCAAGGCAUCGAUGGAUAGGGGUUCUGAGAGGAAGGUCCCCCACAUUGGAACUGAGACACGGUCCAAACUCCUACGGGAGGCAGCAGUGAGGAAUAUUGGUCAAUGGGCGCUAGCCUGAACCAGCCAAGUAGCGUGAAGGAUGACUGCCCUAUGGGUUGUAAACUUCUUUUAUAUGGGAAUAAAGUGCAGUAUGUAUACUGCUUUGCAUGUACCUUAUGAAUAAGGAUCGGCUAACUCCGUGCCAGCAGCCGCGGUAAUACGGAGGAUCCGAGCGUUAUCCGGAUUUAUUGGGUUUAAAGGGAGCGUAGGCGGGUUGUUAAGUCAGUUGUGAAAGUUUGCGGCUCAACCGUAAAAUUGCAGUUGAUACUGGCAUCCUUGAGUACAGUAGAGGUAGGCGGAAUUCGUGGUGUAGCGGUGAAAUGCUUAGAUAUCACGAAGAACUCCGAUUGCGAAGGCAGCCUGCUGGACUGUAACUGACGCUGAUGCUCGAAAGUGUGGGUAUCAAACAGGAUUAGAUACCCUGGUAGUCCACACAGUAAACGAUGAAUACUCGCUGUUUGCGAUAUACAGUAA